CCGUGCUACGUGGGGCGUUAGCGGUGCCCUGUCACCUGCCAUCCGCUUCAGCAGGGCGGAAUUCCUUUCCGAGGGGCGUCGGCAGGCAUUGUGUUCGCCGCCACCGGGCGUUGACGGCUGGACCCCAUGCGAUGGGCGUCUGGUGAACCUGGUCAGGGCGGAGACGCAGCAGCCAUAAGCCUGUGCGUCCAUGCGCCGUGGGACCUUCCGGCCUGAGCCGCGGAGCGUCGAUACGUGUCCGCUGCGUUUCGGAGAAAGGUGCACGG
Molecule: signal recognition particle RNA, 266 nt
Filed under: Phycisphaerae bacterium
Lineage: Bacteria; Pseudomonadati; Planctomycetota; Phycisphaerae
Description: signal recognition particle sRNA large type
Rfam family: Bacterial large signal recognition particle RNA
About the family: The signal recognition particle (SRP) is a universally conserved ribonucleoprotein involved in the co-translational targeting of proteins to membranes. Archaeal SRP consists of a 7S RNA and homologues of the eukaryotic SRP19 and SRP54 proteins.
Source: RNAcentral